AAGCGAAAGUGAUAAGUAUCCCACCUGGGGAGUACGGUCGCAAGACUGAAACUCAAAGGAAUUGACGGGGGCCCGCACAAGCGGUGGAGCAUGUGGUUUAAUUCGAUGAUACGCGAGGAACCUUACCAGGGCUUAAAUGUAGUCUGACAGCAAAAGAGAUAGA
This 163-nucleotide ribosomal RNA is filed under the name uncultured bacterium. RNAcentral's name for it is "partial 16S ribosomal RNA". It matches the Rfam family "Bacterial small subunit ribosomal RNA", at positions 849 to 1010 of the family's 1533-position model. The record is from RNAcentral.